UGGGGAAUCUUGGACAAUGGGGGCAACCCUGAUCCAGCCAUGCCGCGUGAGUGAAGAAGGCCCUAGGGUCGUAAAACUCUUUCGCCUGUGAUGAUAAUGACAGUAGCAGGUAAGGAAACCCCGGCUAACUCCGGUGCCAGCAGCCGCGGUAAUACGGAGGGGGUUAGCGUUGUUCGGAAUUACUGGGCGUAAAGCGCACGUAGGCGGAUUAGGAAGUUAGAGGUGAAAUCCCGGGGCUCAACCCCGGAACUGCCUUUAAAACUACUUAGUGUAGAGUUCGAGAGAGGUGAGUGGAAUUCCGAGUGUAGAGGUGAAAUUCGUAGAUAUUCGGAGGAACACCAGUGGCGAAGGCGGCUCACUGGCUCGAUACUGACGCUGAGGUGCGAAAGUGUGGGGAGCAAACAGGAUUAGAUACCCUGGUAGUCCACACCGUAAACGAUGAAUGCCAGUCGUCGGGUAGUAUACUAUUCGGUGACACACCUAACGGAUUAAGCAUUCCGCCUGGGGAGUACGGUCGCAAGAUUA
Molecule: ribosomal RNA, 525 nt
Filed under: uncultured marine bacterium
Lineage: Bacteria
Description: bacterial SSU rRNA
Rfam family: Bacterial small subunit ribosomal RNA
Source: RNAcentral